Arachis ipaensis is the source of this 1665-nucleotide non-coding RNA. NCBI's taxonomy places the organism in Eukaryota, Viridiplantae, Streptophyta, Magnoliopsida, Fabales, Fabaceae. The record is from RefSeq and is a predicted model, not a curated record.
UCAAUUCAGAAAGCCCUCCAGGAAGAUGAACACCGUCUUCAUUGUGCCUCACGAAGGAGAUUAAGCCUAGCUAACCCUAACCAUCUCUUCAUUGUGCCUCACCGUACCCUAACCCUCUCUUCAUUGUGCCUCACGAAGAACCCCAUAUCGAAGAACCCCUAACAGCACUCUGCGAAGAAUGUCGCCAGUCGACGGCACUCGCAAUGCCUCCAUCGAAGAACCCCUAACCCUCCUUUGAGUUUCUUCUCUCUUCUCUCGCCACUCUCACCCUCAAGCUCACUGAGUCUCACCUCUCUCAUGGCUGGUCUCGCCGUCGACCUCUCUAUCUCUCCGGUAUAUUGCUUCUCUCGCAGGCGUUUCAGACUCAAGGUCGUCGCGCUCUGUCACCAUCGCUGCUCUGUCGCAAGCAAAUCGAUGGAAUUCGACCCGAUCCCAAUCGGUUCCUACUCCAAAGAGAACCAGAUCAUCUACUAGCAGUUGUUCAAUUACGCCAAUUCAGAUGGCGAUGGCCGCAUUACGGGGAGUGAUGCCACCAAGUUUUUCGCCAUGUCCAAUUUGUCUCGCCAGGAUCUUAAGCAGGUGUGGGCUAUCGCUAAUUCAAAGCGACAAGGAUAUCUUGGUUUUGCAAAGUUCAUCAUUGCUAUGCAGCUAAUUUCUUUGGCACAAUCCGACCAACCAAUAACACAAGAUCUUCUUUCUAGUGGUGGCAUUUUACUUCCAACCAUUUUUCUAGGAAUCUACCUGCUACAUUUGCAAAUCUCACUAAAUUGAAUCACGUUCAACUAGGCAAUAAUCAAUUUUCUGGAACUAUACCAAAUUUUAUUUAGAGAUGGACAACUCUUCAGAGACUGUGAAUCUUUACCUUAUUCCCUGAAAUUUAAACUUUUAGCUGUUUCUUUUUGAAAUACAUUUUAGUUAUAAUUGGCUGACCAGAGAAUUGUUCUUAAUUGUUCCAGGGUGGUGCAAGGGAAUGGUAUGAAUUUUUUUAUUCAGAAAUUAAUGCUACUCAUAAUUCUUGCUUCUUUUUUAUUUGAUGAAGUGCAUGCAUCAACAUUCUUCUCAGUUCAGUCUUUUGAUUAUAAUAUAGGGAUUUAAAAUAUCUUAAGUUGACUUUUUGAAACCAUUUCUUUUCUCUCUUAAAUAAUACUUGCUUUGGACAUAACUUCUUUUUCAGAGACAUCAGUUUUAACAAAUUAAGUGGAAUCAUUCUAAGCUCCUUCAGUCACCUAUUGAACAUGAACAUACUGUAAGAAAUAUUUUCUAACUUUUUAUUUUUUAUUUACAUGAAAUGAGGACUGAGGGAAACCAUUUCUUGCCUUCAUUAUUAGAAAAUUGGAAAUUGAAUGCCAUUGACACUGAUAGAGAACCAAUGGCAGGAUUAAAAUGCAGAUAUACUUGGUUUCGUUCUCAAUUAAACAUGCUGCUUAUGAUAAUUUGAGUUGCAGCCUGAAGCUUUGGUAUGUACUUAUUAUUUAUGAUUUCUGUUCUUAUACCUUGCUUUUUUUCCUUUUAUUUGUUGGGCUUGAUUCAGAGAAAAAAAAGACGAGCCUGCCCUGGCUUCUGCUGCUUGAUGCUAGCCUUGCUUGCCAUGAUGCAUCAAAAUCCAGCUAUAAGUUCUAUGAUAAUUUCAUUGGCUGGUUUACCUUUUGAUUUUUGGAAGUUUUG